Molecule: ribosomal RNA, 372 nt
Filed under: uncultured bacterium
Lineage: Bacteria
Description: bacterial SSU rRNA
Rfam family: Bacterial small subunit ribosomal RNA
Source: RNAcentral
GUAGUCCACACAGUAAACGAUGUAUACUCGCGGUUUGCGAUAGACAGUAAGCCGCCAAGCGAAAGCAUUAAGUAUACCACCUGGGGAGUACGCCGGCAACGGUGAAACUCAAAGGAAUUGACGGGGGCCCGCACAAGCGGAGGAACAUGUGGUUUAAUUCGAUGAUACGCGAGGAACCUUACCCGGGCUUGAACUAACGGUGACAGAUCUAGAGAUAGAUUUUUCUUCGGACACCGUUGGAGGUGCUGCAUGGUUGUCGUCAGCUCGUGCCGUGAGGUGUCGGCUUAAGUGCCAUAACGAGCGCAACCCUUCUCCUCGGUUGCCAUCGGGUAAUGCCGGGCACUCCGUGGACACUGCCAUCGUAAGAUGUGA